GGAAGUAAAGGUCGUAACAAGGUCUCCGUUGGUGAACCAGCGGAGGGAUCAUUAUCGAGUUUAUAACUCCCAAACCCUAUGUGAACUUACCACUUGUUGCUUCGGCGCGCGCUUCGGCGCCGCCGAGGACACUUAAACUCUUUGUUUUUAUAAGCAUUUCUGAGUGGCCGAAAGGCAAAAUACAAAUGAAUCAAAACUUUCAACAACGGAUCUCUUGGUUCUG
RNAcentral lists this unclassified non-coding RNA (223 nucleotides) under plant metagenome. RNAcentral's name for it is "partial contains small subunit ribosomal RNA, internal transcribed spacer 1, and 5.8S ribosomal RNA". The stretch from base 1 to 54 matches the Rfam family "Eukaryotic small subunit ribosomal RNA", at positions 1778 to 1831 of the family's 1831-position model. The record is from RNAcentral.